This 76-nucleotide transfer RNA is filed under the name Calditerricola satsumensis. RNAcentral describes it as "tRNA-Val". It matches the Rfam family "tRNA". Rfam says of the family: Transfer RNA (tRNA) molecules are approximately 80 nucleotides in length. Their secondary structure includes four short double-helical elements and three loops (D, anti-codon, and T loops). Further hydrogen bonds mediate the characteristic L-shaped molecular structure. tRNAs have two regions of fundamental functional importance: the anti-codon, which is responsible for specific mRNA codon recognition, and the 3' end, to which the tRNAs corresponding amino acid is attached (by aminoacyl-tRNA synthetases). tRNAs cope with the degeneracy of the genetic code in two manners: having more than one tRNA (with a specific anti-codon) for a particular amino acid; and 'wobble' base-pairing, i.e. permitting non-standard base-pairing at the 3rd anti-codon position. The record is from RNAcentral. RNAcentral also lists the same sequence under 2 other names. Lineage: Bacteria; Bacillati; Bacillota; Bacilli; Caryophanales; Bacillaceae.
GGACGGUUAGCUCAGUUGGGAGAGCGCUUGCUUCACACGCAAGAGGUCGGCGGUUCGAUCCCGUCACCGUCCACCA